UUCCAUGAAAAGAAGGCUCCGAAACAGUUGCAAAGGAAGUGUGAAUUUGAUAUAGAGCCAUGAUUGGAGGUCGACUGAGCACUGAAUUUGGACAAAUAAAUUGUGGGUUUUGCAGAGGGAUGCCAUUAAAGCUUGGAGGAGGAGGAGCUCGAUUGAGCGGAGGCUCUAAUGAAGCAGGAUUUGUAGAAGAAAUUGGAGGAGAAGAAAAGGGAAAG
Molecule: long non-coding RNA, 215 nt
Filed under: Amborella trichopoda
Lineage: Eukaryota; Viridiplantae; Streptophyta; Magnoliopsida; Amborellales; Amborellaceae
Description: long non-coding RNA (ATRI_LNC003345)
Source: RNAcentral